This 253-nucleotide ribosomal RNA is filed under the name uncultured bacterium. RNAcentral's name for it is "partial 16S ribosomal RNA". It matches the Rfam family "Bacterial small subunit ribosomal RNA", at positions 524 to 776 of the family's 1533-position model. The record is from RNAcentral.
UACGGAGGGGGCAAGCGUUGUUCGGAAUUAUUGGGCGUAAAGAGUAUGUAGGCGGCUAGAUAAGUCAGACGUGUAAGCCCAUGGCUCAACCAUGGAAUUGCGUUUGAAACUAUUUAGCUUGAGUGCAGGAGAGGAAAGCGGAAUUCCCAGUGUAGCGGUGAAAUGCAUUGAUAUUGGGAAGAACACCGGUGGCGAAGGCGGCUUUCUGGGAUAAUACUGACACUGAGGCGCGAAAGCGUGGGGAGCGAACCGG